Molecule: ribosomal RNA, 255 nt
Filed under: uncultured prokaryote
Description: partial 16S ribosomal RNA
Rfam family: Bacterial small subunit ribosomal RNA
Source: RNAcentral
AUACGUAGGGUGCAAGCGUUGUCCGGAAUUAUUGGGCGUAAAGCGCGUGUAGGCGGCCUUGCAAGUUGGGUGUGAAAGCCCUCGGCUUAACCGAGGAAGUGCGCCCAAAACUACAAGGCUUGAGUACCGGAGAGGGUGGCGGAAUUCCCGGUGUAGAGGUGAAAUUCGUAGAUAUCGGGAGGAACACCAGUGGCGAAGGCGGCCACCUGGACGGAUACUGACGCUGAGACGCGAAAGCGUGGGGAGCAAACAGGA